GCUUCCAUAGUUCAACGGAUAGAACGAGGGACUCCUAAGCCCUAGACCGAGGUUCAAUUCCUCGUGGAGGCACCA
Molecule: transfer RNA, 75 nt
Filed under: Candidatus Uhrbacteria bacterium
Lineage: Bacteria; Candidatus Uhriibacteriota
Description: tRNA-Arg
Rfam family: tRNA
About the family: Transfer RNA (tRNA) molecules are approximately 80 nucleotides in length. Their secondary structure includes four short double-helical elements and three loops (D, anti-codon, and T loops). Further hydrogen bonds mediate the characteristic L-shaped molecular structure. tRNAs have two regions of fundamental functional importance: the anti-codon, which is responsible for specific mRNA codon recognition, and the 3' end, to which the tRNAs corresponding amino acid is attached (by aminoacyl-tRNA synthetases). tRNAs cope with the degeneracy of the genetic code in two manners: having more than one tRNA (with a specific anti-codon) for a particular amino acid; and 'wobble' base-pairing, i.e. permitting non-standard base-pairing at the 3rd anti-codon position.
Source: RNAcentral